RNAcentral lists this unclassified non-coding RNA (238 nucleotides) under uncultured fungus. RNAcentral describes it as "partial contains 5.8S ribosomal RNA, internal transcribed spacer 2, and large subunit ribosomal RNA". The stretch from base 1 to 52 matches the Rfam family "5.8S ribosomal RNA", at positions 103 to 154 of the family's 154-position model. The record is from RNAcentral. Lineage: Eukaryota; Fungi.
AACGCACAUUGCGCCCCUUGGUAUUCCGAGGGGCAUGCCUGUUCGAGCGUCAUUAUAACCAAUCCAGCUCUGCUGGGUCUUGGGCCGCACCAUUUGGCGGGCCUUAAAAUCAGUGGCGGUGCCGCCCGGCUCUAAGCGUAGUAAUACUUCUCGCUAUAGGGUCCGGACAGAUACUGGCCAGCAACUCCCACUUUCCAAGAUUGACCUCGGAUCAGGUAGGGAUACCCGCUGAACUUAA